This 253-nucleotide ribosomal RNA is filed under the name uncultured bacterium. RNAcentral's name for it is "partial 16S ribosomal RNA". It matches the Rfam family "Bacterial small subunit ribosomal RNA", at positions 524 to 776 of the family's 1533-position model. The record is from RNAcentral.
UACGUAGGGGGCAAGCAUUGUCCGGAAUCAUUGGGCGUAAAGAGCGCGUAGGCGGUCCGGUAAGUCCGCUCUGAAAGUCCGGGGCUCAACCCCGGGAGGCGGGCGGAUACUGUCGGGCUAGAGUCCGGAAGAGGCGAGUGGAAUUCCUGGUGUAGCGGUGAAAUGCGCAGAUAUCAGGAGGAACACCGAUGGCGAAGGCAGCUCGCUGGGACGGUACUGACGCUGAGGCGCGAAAGCGUGGGGAGCAAACAGG